AGCGGGAGGGGGCCGGGCUAGCGGGCUACUGGGCUGCGGAGACCAGAGCCCGGCUCCACUGAAGAAACCCGCCGGCUGCUGGGGCAGGGCGGCGAAAGGUCAGUCGGCCGAGAGGAGUCCGUGGAGCCACCGUUUCAUAGCCUCAGGGAAAGGAUCGGGCGUGCUCACGAGCCCUCUAACCCAUGGCUUAAACACCCGCUUCCUAAGCCUGGUUCCUGAAUAUAUCACAUGUGGUGAUAAACAUGAAGAUGUAUGAAAAAUUGUGUUCGUUGAGAGAAAAUGGAAGGCUUUUCAUUCUACUUCCACAUUUUCAUUCCAGCAGCUUUUCUGUUUUGGAAGAUGAGUACUGAAUCUUGCAAUGAAAUUUUUUUAACUUAAACAAGGUUCUUAUGCCUUUGUUUGAAAAACAUGGUUCCCUGUGAAAUUUUACAUGUAGAAGAAAGCUUCACACUACGAGAGCUCUCAGGAUAUAAUUAUUUCAGACAGAUACUGGGAACAUAAGAUGGCUUAUCAAUCUAAGAUGGCCUUCCUGUCCUUCGGAUUGAACUGAAACCAUCCCUGAUUCCAGGGAUAGGUAGAUGAUCCAGGUUUGGACAAUCAAAAUAUUGAACCACCCUGGACCUACAAGUGUUUCUGGGAUGGGAACAUGCAAACGUUGGUCCAAAUUGUUGUUCUAGGCAGCCCAGUACAUUUCUCCAAUGCCUGAUGGAAUGAUAGGGUAUGCAUAAAUGUUCAUGUGGGCUCUGGAGUAUACCAGGAACUGAAGUAAGGUACAUGGACGUCUUGAAUAUUGUAACUGAGAUGGGCAAGCCUACACCUUUGCAAAUAAAGGAGGAUUGGGAAAGAUUAAGCCUCUCAAGCACUGUGAAAAAUCACUUUCUCUUGUUGUAUUCUUGGAGCCCCUGCUAAUUCAUUAUUGAAAAAUACCUGCUGCCUGCAUUUGGCCUUAUGUUGUCAUUUACUUGGUACUUCCUAAGCGUGGCUACUCCAAUGAAGCUUUAGUAUAUGUACUGAAAGAAGAUCCUCUCAUACUGCCACAGCCAAGAGAUAAGGUUGUAAAUCUUUAUUGGGAGAAGCCGUCAAGGACAGUUCUGUGAAAUGAAAGGAUCUCUGGAUCACCACAAAGUCUGGCUCAGUGACUAUGGCUUUGCAAACACUAAACAUUCCUGUCUCAAGUCCUGUAGAUGGCUUGAAAUAGUAUACAUAAGCAUGCCUUAUAAACAUCUUCAGUCUUUAUCAACUCUUUGGAGAUUCAGCCAUUCUUUUUUGUACUUUAGGGAAUUAAAUCAUUUUAUAAUGUAUAAAUCUGAGCAUGGCCGAUGGCAGAAGAAAUUUUGUCAUACGUUUUUAAAGAAAUAAAAAUGUAUUAUGUUUUAAAAUUC
RNAcentral lists this long non-coding RNA (1382 nucleotides) under Homo sapiens (human). Lineage: Eukaryota; Metazoa; Chordata; Mammalia; Primates; Hominidae. The record is from RNAcentral.